RNAcentral lists this ribosomal RNA (473 nucleotides) under Escherichia coli. RNAcentral describes it as "partial 16S ribosomal RNA". It matches the Rfam family "Bacterial small subunit ribosomal RNA", at positions 1 to 470 of the family's 1533-position model. RNAcentral also lists the same sequence under 1 other name. The record is from RNAcentral. Lineage: Bacteria; Pseudomonadati; Pseudomonadota; Gammaproteobacteria; Enterobacterales; Enterobacteriaceae.
UAAUUGAAGAGUUUGAUCAUGGCUCAGAUUGAACGCUGGCGGCAGGCCUAACACAUGCAAGUCGAGCGGUAACAGGAGAAAGCUUGCUUUCUUGCUGACGAGCGGCGGACGGGUGAGUAAUGUAUGGGGAUCUGCCCGAUAGAGGGGGAUAACUACUGGAAACGGUGGCUAAUACCGCAUAAUGUCUACGGACCAAAGCAGGGGCUCUUCGGACCUUGCACUAUCGGAUGAACCCAUAUGGGAUUAGCUAGUAGGUGGGGUAAAGGCUCACCUAGGCGACGAUCUCUAGCUGGUCUGAGAGGAUGAUCAGCCACACUGGGACUGAGACACGGCCCAGACUCCUACGGGAGGCAGCAGUGGGGAAUAUUGCACAAUGGGCGCAAGCCUGAUGCAGCCAUGCCGCGUGUAUGAAGAAGGCCUUAGGGUUGUAAAGUACUUUCAGCGGGGAGGAAGGUGAUAAGGUUAAUACCCUU